ACUCCUACGGGAGGCAGCAGUGGGGAAUAUUGCACAAUGGGCGCAAGCCUGAUGCAGCGACGCCGCGUGAGGGAUGACGGCCUUCGGGUUGUAAACCUCUUUCAGCUCCGACGAAGCGUAAGUGACGGUAGGAGUAGAAGAAGGACCGGCCAACUACGUGCCAGCAGCCGCGGUAAUACGUAGGGUCCGAGCGUUGUCCGGAAUUACUGGGCGUAAAGAGCUCGUAGGUGGUUUGUCGCGUUGUUCGUGAAAACCCACAGCUCAACUGUGGGCGUGCGGGCGAUACGGGCAGACUAGAGUACUGCAGGGGAGACUGGAAUUCCUGGUGUAGCGGUGGAAUGCGCAGAUAUCAGGAGGAACACCGGUGGCGAAGGCGGGUCUCUGGGCAGUAACUGACGCUGAGGAGCGAAAGCGUGGGGAGCGAACAGGAUUAGAUACCCUGGUAGUCCACGCCGUAAACGGUGGGUACUAGGUGUGGGUUUCCUUCCUUGGGAUCCGUGCCGUAGCUAACGCAUUAAGUACCCCGCCUGGGGAGUACGGCCGCAAGGCUAAAACUCAAAGAAAUUGACGGGGGCCCGCACAAGCGGCGGAGCAUGUGGAUUAAUUCGAUGCAACGCGAAGAACCUUACCUGGGUUUGACAUGCACAGGACGUGCCUAGAGAUAGGUAUUCCUUGUGGCCUGUGUGCAGGUGGUGCAUGGCUGUCGUCAGCUCGUGUCGUGAGAUGUUGGGUUAAGUCCCGCAACGAGCGCAACCCUUGUCUCAUGUUGCCAGCACGUUAUGGUGGGGACUCGUGAGAGACUGCCGGGGUCAACUCGGA
Molecule: ribosomal RNA, 819 nt
Filed under: uncultured Actinomycetes bacterium
Lineage: Bacteria; Bacillati; Actinomycetota; Actinomycetes
Description: bacterial SSU rRNA
Rfam family: Bacterial small subunit ribosomal RNA
Source: RNAcentral